CAUCAGAGCUCUAUAAGGCAUGUUGAUAUUGAUUGCUUCUUUGUCUCAGGGGCUAUAAGAAAUAUAACAGAUCUCAAAGGAAAAACAGUGGCUCUGUCAGCAACCAUGACACAGGAAGGUCACUUUUCAUCCUGGUGCUAACAUCCAGCUGGAGUGGCAGUAUUAGCAAAAUAAAAUCCUGAAAGGAGAAGCAGAGAUCAUGCUGACCCAGAAAGUGGAGAUCUGAUUGCUGAGAUUAAAGGCUUGAGCCACCAUGAUUAUCUGUAAUAAAGUGAGGUGUUAGAGCCUGUGGCCUAGUGAAGUGAACAUCGGGGCUGGAAGCAAGGUCAGAGUCAAAGUCUUUUUGAUAAAGAACCAGGAAUACAUACCAGCACAUCUGGGCUGACUAUCCUUCUUCCCAAGGGAUGGAUCAAUCUCAGAGAAGAUGGUCCUUCCUCUUGAUCUACCGGGUACUCUCUAGAUCAGUAGAGCCUCCUUACAAGUCACCACAUGUAAAUUGGAUUUACAUCCCUAUCAUCUAGAGAAUAGCAAGCACAGAGAACAGCAAAGACAAAAAAGAAAGGACAAAGAACUCAGAGGGUGACACAUUAAUCACUUUGGGUCAUUUUUUCCUGUUUUACCUUGACUCUGACUUCUAACAAAAAGAGAACAUCAAGAAGAAGAAAAUGAAAGAAACAAACGUCUUUGGAGCCCUGGUGUUGUCAUCGAGUCAAAUUUUUAAAAGACAGAGAGGAGUUGUGAAAAUCAGCUUGCUCAGCGGAAGUCUGCAGUGUUAUAUAAUCAGUACCAUUCUGCUUUAUCUUACAGAAAGUUAAACAUGGCCUGUGGUCACACAGUUACUGAAGAAUUGAACUGUAACCUACAAUUCUUAUUCUCUCUCUCUCUCUCUCUCUCUCUCUCUCAUGAAUAAAAUUUGAAAUUAAACUACA
Long non-coding RNA from Apodemus sylvaticus (European woodmouse), 929 nucleotides. RefSeq lists it as uncharacterized. The record is from RefSeq and is a predicted model, not a curated record. NCBI's taxonomy places the organism in Eukaryota, Metazoa, Chordata, Mammalia, Rodentia, Muridae. The transcript has 5 exons.